CACCUAACAAGAUGAGCAUGCUCUGAGGGAGCAGUCUGAGGGAGGCGACUCUCACUUGCUCCAAAGGCCCCAGGGAAGCGAGUCUCUGUGGCUGUCCAGGUCACCUGAUCCCAGGUGACCCCCGUGUCAAGGGCCCUUCCUCAAUCUGACCACAGAUACAUGUCCUCGUCUGCUCAUCCCGGGUUUGCUGUGCGCCAGCCUGGCCGGCUGGAAUGGGAAUACUUACUUCGGACGAGGACCUUGGCGAAGGAGGAGGCCUGGCCGUAUGCAUUCUUCACCUUCACUGUGUAGGAUCGAUGUCCUGUCCACAGUCGUGUCUCUGAAGUCCAAGUUGGCUGAGAUGGAGGGACUGGCGUACUGGAAAGAACCCAGGCAUCGGAAUCACGCGGGACUGUCUGCCAAAUACCAAUCCCCAGGCCCCACUCCAGAUUAAGACGUCCUUAAUCUGCCUCCUGGGAGGCAAGAGGAGGGUCCCUCCCGCGAAUCAGUGUUUUCAUAAGCACCCCAGGUUCUUCCAAAGGUGAGGCCGACUCAGAAAUCCUGCUCUGGCUUCGGUGCUGGUGGGGUCUGGGGGUCAUGGGUCUCUCUAGAGCUCACAGUCUCACCUCCUGAUCUCCAGCGUCAGCAGCCCAUAGUUGUUGGUGA
Panthera uncia (snow leopard) is the source of this 645-nucleotide long non-coding RNA. RefSeq lists it as uncharacterized. The record is from RefSeq and is a predicted model, not a curated record. The transcript has 3 exons. Lineage: Eukaryota; Metazoa; Chordata; Mammalia; Carnivora; Felidae.